GACGAACGCUGGCGGCGUGCUUAACACAUGCAAGUCGAACGGAAAGGCCCUGCUUUUGUGGGGUGCUCGAGUGGCGAACGGGUGAGUAACACGUGAGUAACCUGCCCUUGACUUUGGGAUAACUUCAGGAAACUGGGGCUAAUACCGGAUAGGAGCUCCUGCUGCAUGGUGGGGGUUGGAAAGUUUCGGCGGUUGGGGAUGGACUCGCGGCUUAUCAGCUUGUUGGUGGGGUAGUGGCUUACCAAGGCUUUGACGGGUAGCCGGCCUGAGAGGGUGGCCGGCCACAUUGGGACUGAGAUACGGCCCAGACUCCUACGGGAGGCAGCAGUGGGGAAUAUUGCACAAUGGGCGGAAGCCUGAUGCAGCAACGCCGCGUGCGGGAUGACGGCCUUCGGGUUGUAAACCGCUUUCGCCUGUGACGAAGCGUGAGUGACGGUAAUGGGUAAAGAAGCACCGGCUAACUACGUGCCAGCAGCCGCGGUGAUACGUAGGGUGCGAGCGUUGUCCGGAUUUAUUGGGCGUAAAGGGCUCGUAGGUGGUUGAUCGCGUCGGAAGUGUAAUCUUGGGGCUUAACCCUGAGCGUGCUUUCGAUACGGGUUGACUUGAGGAAGGUAGGGGAGAAUGGAAUUCCUGGUGGAGCGGUGGAAUGCGCAGAUAUCAGGAGGAACACCAGUGGCGAAGGCGGUUCUCUGGGCCUUUCCUGACGCUGAGGAGCGAAAGCGUGGGGAGCGAACAGGCUUAGAUACCCUGGUAGUCCACGCUGUAAACGGUGGGUACUAGGUGUGGGGUCCAUUCCACGGGUUCCGUGCCGUAGCUAACGCUUUAAGUACCCCGCCUGGGGAGUACGGCCGCAAGGCUAAAACUCAAAGGAAUUGACGGGGCCCCGCACAAGCGGCGGAGCAUGCGGAUUAAUUCGAUGCAACGCGUAGAACCUUACCUGGGUUUGACAUGGAUCGGGAGUGCUCAGAGAUGGGUGUGCCUCUUUUGGGGUCGGUUCACAGGUGGUGCAUGCCUGUCGUCAGCUCGUGUCGUGAGAUGUUGGGUUAAGUCCCGCAACGAGCGCAACCCUUGUUCACUGUUGCCAGCACGUUAUGGUGGGGACUCAGUGGAGACCGCCGGGGUCAACUCGGAGGAAGGUGGGGAUGACGUCAAGUCCUCAUGCCCCUUAUGUCCAGGGCUUCACGCAUGCUACAAUGGCUGGUACAGAGAGUGGCGAGCCUGUGAGGGUGAGCGAAUCUCGGAAAGCCGGUCUCAGUUCGGAUUGGGGUCUGCAACUCGACCUCAUGAAGUCGGAGUCGCUAGUAAUCGCAGAUCAGCAACGCUGCGGUGAAUACGUUCCCGGG
RNAcentral lists this ribosomal RNA (1343 nucleotides) under uncultured bacterium. RNAcentral describes it as "16S ribosomal RNA". It matches the Rfam family "Bacterial small subunit ribosomal RNA", at positions 28 to 1378 of the family's 1533-position model. The record is from RNAcentral.